AUUGAACGCUGGCGGCAGGCCUAACACAUGCAAGUCGAACGGUAGCACAGAGAGCUUGCUCUCGGGUGACGAGUGGCGGACGGGUGAGUAAUGUCUGGGAAACUGCCGAUGGAGGGGGAUAACUACUGGAAACGGUAGCUAAUACCGCAUAACGUCGCAAGACCAAAGUGGGGGACCUUCGGGCCUCACACCAUCGGAUGUGCCCAGAUGGGAUUAGCUAGUAGGUGGGGUAAUGGCUCACCUAGGCGACGAUCCCUAGCUGGUCUGAGAGGAUGACCAGCCACACUGGAACUGAGAAACGGUCCAGACUCCUACGGGAGGCAGCAGUGGGGAAUAUUGCACAAGGGGCGCAAGCCUGAUGCAGCUAUGCCGCGUGUAUGAAGAAGGCCUUCGGGUUGUAAAGUACUUUCAGCGGGGAGGAAGGCGGUGAAGUUAAUAACUUCACCGAUUGACGUUACCCGCAGAAGAAGCACCGGCUAACUCCGUGCCAGCCGCCGCGGUAA
This 503-nucleotide ribosomal RNA is filed under the name uncultured bacterium. RNAcentral's name for it is "partial 16S ribosomal RNA". It matches the Rfam family "Bacterial small subunit ribosomal RNA", at positions 30 to 523 of the family's 1533-position model. The record is from RNAcentral.